RNAcentral lists this ribosomal RNA (471 nucleotides) under uncultured bacterium. RNAcentral describes it as "partial 16S ribosomal RNA". It matches the Rfam family "Bacterial small subunit ribosomal RNA", at positions 28 to 507 of the family's 1533-position model. The record is from RNAcentral.
GACGAACGCUGGCGGCGUGCUUAACACAUGCAAGUCGAACGGAAAGGCCCUGCUUUUGUGGGGUGCUCGAGUGGCGAACGGGUGAGUAACACGUGAGUAACCUGCCCUUGACUUUGGGAUAACUUCAGGAAACUGGGGCUAAUACCGGAUAGGAGCUCCUGCUGCAUGGUGGGGGUUGGAAAGUUUCGGCGGUUGGGGAUGGACUCGCGGCUUAUCAGCUUGUUGGUGGGGUAGUGGCUUACCAAGGCUUUGACGGGUAGCCGGCCUGAGAGGGUGACCGGCCACAUUGGGACUGAGAUACGGCCCAGACUCCUACGGGAGGCAGCAGUGGGGAAUAUUGCACAAUGGGCGGAAGCCUGAUGCAGCAACGCCGCGUGCGGGAUGACGGCCUUCGGGUUGUAAACUCCUUUCAGCCAUGACGAAGCCCUUGUGGUGACGGUAGUGGUAGAAGAAGCACCGGCUAACUACGUG